Molecule: ribosomal RNA, 218 nt
Filed under: uncultured bacterium
Lineage: Bacteria
Description: partial 16S ribosomal RNA
Rfam family: Bacterial small subunit ribosomal RNA
Source: RNAcentral
ACGCUCGACACCUACGGGAGGCAGCAGUGAGGAAUAUUGGUCAAUGGACGCAAGUCUGAACCAGCCAUGCCGCGUGCAGGAUGACGGCUCUAUGAGUUGUAAACUGCUUUUGUACGAGGGUAAACGCAGAUACGUGUAUCUGUCUGAAAGUAUCGUACGAAUAAGGAUCGGCUAACUCCGUGCAGCAGCCGACGGUAAUCUGAGCGGGCUGGCAAGGC